CAUGCAAGUCGAGCGAAGCUUUUCAGUAGUUUACUACAGAAAAUGACUGAGCGGCGAACGGGUGAGUAACGCGUGAGCAACCUACCUUAGUUACUGGGAUAGCCCGAGGAAACUCGGAUUAAUACCGGAUAUUCUUAUUUAAUCACAUGACUUUUUAAGGAAAGGUCAGCCGAACUAAGAUGGGCUCGCGUUCUAUCAGCUAGUUGGUAGGGUAAUGGCCUACCAAGGCUACGACGGAUAGCUGGUCUGAGAGGACGAUCAGCCACACUGGGACUGAGACACGGCCCAGACUCCUACGGGAGGCUGCAGCAGGGAAUAUUGCGCAAUGAGCGAAAGCUUGACGCAGCGACACCGCGUGUGGGAUGACGGAUCUAGGUUUGUAAACCACUUUCAGGAGGGAAGAAAAUGACGGUACCUCCACAAGAAGCCCCGGCCAACUACGUGCCAGCAGCCGCGGUAAUACGUAGGGGGCGAGCGUUGUCCGGAUUUAUUGGGCGUAAAGAGCUCGUAGGCGGUUCAACAAGUCGGUCGUGAAAGUUCAGGGCUCAACCCUGAAAUGUCGAUCGAUACUGUUGUGACUAGGAUACGGUAGAGGUGAGUGGAAUUCCGAGUGUAGCGGUGAAAUGCGUAGAUAUUCGGAGGAACACCAAUUGCGAAGGCAGCUCACUGGGCCGCUAUCGACGCUGAGGAGCGAAAGCUAGGGGAGCAAACAGGAUUAGAUACCCUGGUAGUCCUAGCUGUAAACGAUGGAUACUAGACGUAGGAAUUGGAUUAACGAUUUCUGUGUCGUAGCUAACGCGUUAAGUAUCCCGCCUGGGGAGUACGGUCGCAAGACUAAAACUCAAAGGAAUUGACGGGACCCCGCACAAGCGGCGGAGCAUGCGGCUUAAUUCGAUGAUACCCGUAAAACCUUACCUGACUUGACAUAUAGGGAAAGUUAUAGAAAUAUAAUGUGCAUUAGCGCCCUAUACAGUGGUGCAUGCUGUCGUCAGCUCGUGUCGUGAGAUGUGGAUAGUCCCGCAACGAGCGCACCCCUGUCCUAUGUUGCCAGCAAGUAAUGUUGGGGACUCAUAGGAGAACUGCCGGUGAUAAA
Molecule: ribosomal RNA, 1093 nt
Filed under: uncultured Actinomycetes bacterium
Lineage: Bacteria; Bacillati; Actinomycetota; Actinomycetes
Description: bacterial SSU rRNA
Rfam family: Bacterial small subunit ribosomal RNA
Source: RNAcentral